Molecule: ribosomal RNA, 414 nt
Filed under: uncultured microorganism
Description: bacterial SSU rRNA
Rfam family: Archaeal small subunit ribosomal RNA
Source: RNAcentral
CAGCAGCCGCGGUAAUACCGGCGGCCCGAGUGGCGGUCACUAUUAUUGGGCUUAAAGCGUCCGUAGCCGGGUUGGGAAGUCCUCCGGGAAAUCUGGCCGCUUAACGGUCAGAAUGCCGGAGGAUACUCCCAGCCUAGGGAGCGGGAGAGGCCGAGGGGAUUCCCGGAGUAGGGGGGAAAUCCUAUAAUCCCGGGAGGACCACCUGUGGCGAAGGCGCUCGGCUGGAACGCGUCCGACGGUGAGGGACGAAGGCCAGGGGAGCAAACCGGAUUAGAUACCCGGGUAGUCCUGGCUGUAAACGAUGCGGACUUUGUGUCGGACAAGCUAUGAGCUUGUCCGGUGCCGGAGGGAAACCGUUAAGUCCGCCGCCUGGGGAGUACGGCCGCAAGGCUGAAACUUAAAGGAAUUGGAGGG